This 540-nucleotide small RNA is filed under the name Pan troglodytes (chimpanzee). RNAcentral describes it as "processed transcript". Lineage: Eukaryota; Metazoa; Chordata; Mammalia; Primates; Hominidae. The record is from RNAcentral.
ACAAUGCUCCGACGCAGAAGGAAGAGCGUCGAGGCUCCGGGUGGGACCUGAGAAGGCGCCCGGCGUGCGGCGGUGCUGGGUUGGAACCGCGGACUCCGCGGGUCUUCGGCGGCGGGCGCGGCAGCCCGUGGAAGCCACCGAUGAUGCCUUUUGGGACCAGUUCUGGGCAGACACAGCCACCUCGGUGCAGGAUGUGUUUGCACUGGUGCCGGCAGCAGAGAUCCGGGCCGUGCGGGAAGAGUCACCCUCCAACUUGGCCACCCUGUGCUACAAGGCCGUUGAGAAGCUGGUGCAGGGAGCUGAGAGUGGCUGCCACUCGGAGAAGGAGAAGCAGAUCGUCCUGAACUGCAGCCGGCUGCUCACCCGCGUGCUGCCCUACAUCUUUGAGGACCCCGACUGGAGGGGCUUCUUCUGGUCCACAGUGCCCGGGGCAGGGCGAGGAGGGCAGGGAGAAGAGGAUGAUGAGCAUGCCAGGCCCCUGGCCGAGUCCCUGCUCCUGGCCAUUGCUGACCUGCUCUUCUGCCCGGACUUCACGGUACA